GACGUAGGGGGCAAGCGUUGUUCGGAAUUAUUGGGCGUAAAGCGCUCGUAGGCGGGAUUGGAAGUCCGUGUUGAAAGACCUCGGCUCAACUGAGGGACCGGCUCGGAUACUCUAAUUCUUGAGGCAAUCAGAGGAUGAUGGAAUUCCCGGUGUAGCGGUGAAAUGCGCAGAUAUCGGGAAGAACACCCGUGGCGAAGGCGGCUCUCUGGGACGGUACUGACGCUGAGACGCGAAAGCGUGGGGAGCGAACAGG
This 253-nucleotide ribosomal RNA is filed under the name uncultured bacterium. RNAcentral describes it as "partial 16S ribosomal RNA". It matches the Rfam family "Bacterial small subunit ribosomal RNA", at positions 524 to 776 of the family's 1533-position model. The record is from RNAcentral.